UACGUAGGGUGCGAGCGUUGUCCGGAAUUAUUGGGCGUAAAGGGCUCGUAGGCGGUUUGUCGCGUCGGGAGUGAAAACCCAGGGCUUAACCCUGGGCUGGCUUUCGAUACGGGCAGACUAGAGGUAUGCAGGGGAGAACGGAAUUCCUGGUGUAGCGGUGAAAUGCGCAGAUAUCAGGAGGAACACCGGUGGCGAAGGCGGGUCUCUGGGCAACAACUGACGCUGAGGAGCGAAAGCGUGGGGAGCGAACAGG
RNAcentral lists this ribosomal RNA (253 nucleotides) under uncultured bacterium. Its description in RNAcentral is "partial 16S ribosomal RNA". It matches the Rfam family "Bacterial small subunit ribosomal RNA", at positions 524 to 776 of the family's 1533-position model. The record is from RNAcentral.